GACGAACGCUGGCGGCGUGCUUAACACAUGCAAGUCGAACGGAAAGGCCCUGCUUUUGUGGGGUGCUCGAGUGGCGAACGGGUGAGUAACACGUGAGUAGCCUGACCUUGACUUUGGGAUAACUUCAGGAAACUGGAGCUAAUACCGGAUAGGAGCUCCUGCUGCAUGGUGGGGGUUGGAAAGUUUCGGCGGUUGGGGAUGGACUCGCGGCUUAUCAGCUUGUUGGUGGGGUAGUGGCUUACCAAGGCUUUGACGGGUAGCCGGCCUGAGAGGGUGACCGGCCACAUUGGGACUGAGAUACGGCCCAGACUCCUACGGGAGGCAGCAGUGGGGAAUAUUGCACAAUGGGCGGAAGCCUGAUGCAGCAACGCCGCGUGCGGGAUGACGGCCUUCGGGUUGUAAACCGCUUUCGCCUGUGACGAAGCGUGAGUGACGGUAAUGGGUAAAGAAGCACCGGCUAACUACGUG
Molecule: ribosomal RNA, 468 nt
Filed under: uncultured bacterium
Lineage: Bacteria
Description: partial 16S ribosomal RNA
Rfam family: Bacterial small subunit ribosomal RNA
Source: RNAcentral